This 349-nucleotide ribosomal RNA is filed under the name uncultured Anaerolineaceae bacterium. RNAcentral's name for it is "bacterial SSU rRNA". It matches the Rfam family "Bacterial small subunit ribosomal RNA", at positions 1014 to 1382 of the family's 1533-position model. Lineage: Bacteria; Bacillati; Chloroflexota; Anaerolineae; Anaerolineales; Anaerolineaceae. The record is from RNAcentral.
CCUUCGGGAGCCUAUACAGGUGUUGCAUGGCUGUCGUCAGCUCGUGUCGUGAGAUGUUCGGUUAAGUCCGCUAACGAGCGCAACCCUCGUCGUAUGUUAUAUGUGUCAUACGAGACUGCCGGUAAAAAGCCGGAGGAAGGUGAGGAUGAUGUCAAGUCAGCAUGACCUUUAUAUCCAGGGCUACACACACGCUACAAUGGUCUGUACAAUGGGUAGCCAAGCCGCGAGGCGGAGCCAAUCCUGAAAGCAGGCCUCAGUUCAGAUUGCAGUCUGCAACUCGACUGCAUGAAGCCGGAGUUGCUAGUAACCGCAGGUCAGCAAUACUGCGGUGAAUACGUUCCCGGGUCUU